Non-coding RNA from Xyrichtys novacula (pearly razorfish), 4316 nucleotides. The record is from the annotation of a GenBank genome assembly. Lineage: Eukaryota; Metazoa; Chordata; Actinopteri; Labriformes; Labridae.
AUUAGCAAAGACUGUUUUGUCCACAGGGGGCGCCAAAUUUGACACAAACUCAAAGAUCUUAACAGAAGCUUUAAAGUACUCUACUCUUUUGCAUGUAUUAAUCACAACCAUGAUGGGUGGUUUGAUAGUUAAUGCCUCAUUAUUUUACAGCAAAACAGAAACUUUAACAAAGUUCUAGUUUUGGACACAAAGUUCUGUUUUCUAACUUCUGUAUUUUUAAAAUGCUACAAUAAAUGAUUCCUUUAUACAUAUUAAAGAAUUGAGUCUUAUUUUUUAUAAUUAACAGCUGAAAAGAAAAUGUAAAGCUGACUUUUAAUAUAUCUCUAGUUUGUUUUUAAGGAAGAACAAUACAUCUAAUAAAAUUGAUAAUGAGAUUAACAAAUUAAAGCCAGGAUGCAUGGUUGCAGUCUCCCCCAAGAAUAACUUAAAACUAAACAAAUAAUACAGGAUUAACAGUCUUUGCUAGCUUAUCUCCAACUCCGAGCUAAAUCAGGAUAGGUCCUUUCUUGUCGAAACUUUUCAGAAUAAAAGUUGCGUUCACUCUGACCGUGAGUAAAAUCAUUUACAUAGUCGAUUUGUAUGUGAAGUCAAAGCAAAGACGUGAUUGGACGGGAGCGCUUUUGGGCCGCGCAGAUUGUGCGAAUGAAAAUUUAGCGUCCUGUUCUUGACUUUGUUUUAUUAUUUUUUAGGAUGAAAAGGGAAGGUCCCGCCCUCCUUCGCCUCUGAUUGGCUAGAAAUCCUCGGCUCCGAUUGGUUUUUCAGUGGGGUUAGGGUCAGUAGAUUUAGAAGUGCGAUAAUGUUCUGUAAUGUUCUGUUCGAUGUACAGAGCCGACAGCCUGUGUUUGUCUUGAGCGUGUGAUGACGUUUCCAGCUUUUCUAGCCAAUCAGAGGCGAAGUAGGCGGGACUUUCCCCUACCAUCCAACAAAAAAAAAGUAUUGCGCCCUGUUCUCGUUAUGCGCUUAUUUGUGAGAGUUGAAAAGUCGACCAUGAACCAAUGGAGGUUCAUUCAUUUGGUACAUGGAUGAUGACAUGACAGCUACAACUUGCUUUCAGUAGUAAGAUGGGAAUAAAAUAAUAUUGAUUCAAUCUGCUAAACAGAUUUAUUUGAAUUUGGAAAAGUGCUUUCGACCUUUAUUGACAGGUGCAAAUAUAUAAAAAUGAAGAGUUUCAAAAGAGUUUCUUUGCAAUCAAUGCCAGAGCAAACAGUUUAACUGCAUAAGUAAUUCAUAAUAAAAGCUGUUUCUAACUUUCUCUCACUCUAAGGAAGCAACAUCUGAUCACUGAUGGCACCUUUUUUCACUUGCGAUGAUAAAAAUAACACCACAACACUCAUUGCAAGAUUAACUCUCGAAGCAGCAGCCCACAGCUUCACCACUUCCACCUUCAUUUUUACAUACCGGCCCAGGUUUUUCAUAUCCUGGGGCCACGGAACAACUCAGCACAGAGCAACAUGACAAAUACAGUACAGUAAAAGCCACCCAGGCCAAAUCUAUCUGCUUUAUUGCUAUUCACCGUUCCCUCCCUCCAUCUGCUCGGCACAUCGCACAACCUGAUGUCUCCUGCCUCUGCCGCACUAUUUUUACCUGCUCCUAGAUACCGUCUCCCUGCAUGUGACGUCAAGAGGGAAGGAGGAAGAGACAGAGAUGGAGAGCGAGCGGGCGAGCUGUUAUCAUUCAUCUACAGUGUACGUUAGCGCCUCGCUGUCACCCUCCAAGAAAGUAAUCAGGAUGUAAUAGCAGAGUGGUGGAAAAAGACAUGGCUUAUGCUGAUGGAGCUUGUGAAGAGUUAGCACCAUGUUCCAUGUUAAGCAUGCUCAUCUGUUCUAGGAGUGAUGGUUUGGGAACAGUGUGAUCUCGGUUGUUAAAAUCCUCCGACACCCCUGAAAAUCUUUUUUUGUGACAGCUGGGUUUAACAUUCGUUCAUGUGUCUGUCUUACAACUUCAUACUCAAAAAAGUGACCUCUGCCUGGGUUGGGUUGGCUCAAAUCUGAACAUCCACAUCCCAGUGUAUAUUAUAUCUUAUUUGUUUAUUUAAAGCUCCAGUGAUAUUUUUGUUAACAUUGAGGAAACAGACUGAAACUCAUAUUGAUGCUUUUCUACACUAUGCAAAAGCAAACAAGACCAGCAGAAACAAGAUUGAUGAUUUUUGUAAUGCAAAUUUUAUCGCCUGAAACCUGUGUGAGGGGGUAGGUGUCAGUGAAGAUGCUGUUUUUCUAAUUUAACUACCGAAAAAGUCGGAAUGAUGAGAUUAUUUGUCAAAAGAUACGGAAUAAGCACGUAGAAGGCAGAAUUAGCUUAGACAUUUUGUCCACAGGGGGCGCCAAAUUUGACACAAACUAAAAGAUCUUCACAGGAGCUUUAAAGUACUCUAUUUUUUAGCGAGUAUUAAUCACUACCAUGAUGGAUGGUUCGAUAGAUAAUGCCUCAUUAUUUUACUCAAAAAAGUGACCUCUGCCUUGGUUGGGUUGGCUCAAAUCUGUACAUCCAUGUCUCAGUACAUAUUAUAUCUUAUUUGUUUAUUUAAAGCUCCAGUGAUAUUUUCGUUUGCAUUUAGGAAAUAGACAAACUCAUAUCGAUAAUUUUCUAUUAUUUCCAAAAGCAAACAAGACUGUCAGAAACAAGAUCUAUGAUUUUUGUAAUGUAAAUUUUAUCGCCUGAAACCUGUGUUAGGGGGGUAGGUGUCAGUGAAGAAGCUGUUUUUCCAAUUUAUUUACCGAAAAAGUCAAAAUGAUGAGAUUAUUUGUCAAAAGAUAUGGAGUAAGCAUGUUGAGCGCAGGAUUAGCAAAGACUGUUUUGUCCACAGGGGGUGCCAAAUUUGACACGAACCAAAAGAUCCUCAGAGGAGCUUUAAAGUACUCUACUUUUUUUGCAUGUAUAAAUCACUUCCAUGAUGGGUGGUUUGAUAGAUAAAACCUCAUUAUUUUACAGCAUAACACAAAGUUCUAGUUUUGGACACAAAGUUUUGUUUUCUAACUUCAGUAUUUAUAAAAGGCUAAAAUAGAUUAUUCCAUUAUUCAUAUUAAAGAAUUGAGUUGUAUUUUUUAAAGUAACAGCUUAAAAGAAAAUGUAAAGCUGACUCUUAAUUCAUCUCUAGUUUGUUUUUAAAGGAAAGUAAUAAAUCUAUUAAAAAUUGAUAAUGAGAUAAACAAAUUAAAGCCAGCAUGCAUGGUUGCAUUCUUUCACAAGAAAAACUUAAAACUGAACUUUAAGCUUUUGGUUGAAGUUUUUAUUUGGCUAUGAUAUCAAUACAGAUGUUUCUUUAUAAUCAAUAACAACAAAUAGAACCACAAGCAAGAGGAAAGACUAUCUUUGUAAAGAUAUUUUAUGUUAAUGUCUGAAACCAGUGGUGGGGGGUAGGUGUCGGACUAUGAGUCGGUUAGGCUUUAUUCACAUUUAAGGGCUAAAAGUAGAGAAUUACAAAUUACACACGUAUAAAUAAUUGAUUUGUUGGCAAGGAGCGCCUCAAUCAAAACAAGAGGAAAGUUCCCUAUAGUAGCUUUAAAGCCACUUAUUAACGUAAAUGAGUAUAACAAGAGAAAACUGAUUGAAAUUUGUACAAAAAAUGAAGAUGAUUUAUUGUAAUUUAUUGUCAUUUAUGACACUUGAAGGAUUGACCAACUAUUCCUUUUAGAAAACACUCUUUAUGUUUGGAUUUUUACAUCUUGCUGCUCUAAAUAGUCUCUUAAAGACAUUCAGAGUCGAUUACCUCGACGUUGAAGUUUAUGAUUGAUGGUAUACUGCAUUAUCAGAAGGGUACACAGUUAAUAGGCAUCACCGCGUUAGUAUAAGUGAGUGUGUACUUGUCUUCGUAUUCAUGCCCAUACCCUCAUCCUCACACUGUGUGCGAGUUUAACCGUCUUUGUCUUUGAGCGAGCGUGCGUGCAUGUAUGUGUGCUUUUACCUCAGCGGGCGCCACAGUGCUCCCCGCCUGCUCGCAGCAUUAACGCUCAACCUUGUCCAAGGUUAAUCUGUCACUCUUGCUGUAUAUUUGCAUUCAUUCUUAUCUGCACCUCACCACUCAACUGGCUGUCUAUCUGCCCCAGCCGCUGCUCCAACUUAAUCGUCUUUGUACAUUAUAGAUGAGCCCCCAACAAAGCAGACACACACCUGGACGCACAUGCACAUACAAAUUCCCUUUCCCUCGCAGCUCCAAUCUUCUUUUUCCAUUCCUGAGCGCCUCCUCGCCACACCACACCGACAACACAGAUUCCCAGACUGUCAAUAUUUACUCUUUAUUUAACGUCCCGGCGAGCCAUUAAACUCUCAAAUGUAAUAUAUUUAUCACUGCAUGGGGGCUUUUGUGUGUGAUCUAAGUG